UUCAUCUCCCAAUUUCAUACGAAUUUGAUGGUAUCCACUACGCAAAUCAACUUUGGAGAAUAUUGUAGAGCCACUCAAUUCAUCAAGCAUAUCAUCUAGCCUAGGAAUAGGAUGACGAUAACGAAUAGUAAUAUUAUUAAUGCCUCUACAAUCAACACACAUACGUGAUGUGCCAUCCUUCUUCGGCACUAAAAUGAUAGGAACAACACAAGGACUAAGGGAUUCGCGUAUAUAACCUUUGUCGAGAAGCUCUUGUACUUGACGCAUAAUCUCCUUCGUCUCCUCUGGAUUGGUACGGUAUGGUGCACGGUUUGGCAGUGAAGCACCGGGAAUUAAGUCAAUCUGAUGCUCAAUCCCUCGAAUAGGUGGUAAUCCCGGUGGCACGUCUUGUGGAAAGACGUCAGCGAACUCCUGCAAAAUGUUAGUGACAGCAGGGGGCAAAGAGGAAGGCACGUCCUCGAAUGAAAAUAAUGCCUCUUUGCACACAAAAGCAUAGCAAACAGAUUUGCUGAAAUCUAGCUCAUCAAUAUCAGAUUUGGUGGCAAAUAAACAUGCACUUUUCAAUUUAAUUUCAGAAGCAACACUAGAUGGUUUAUUAUUAGGCUUCAUUUGUUGCUCAAAUUCUUUUGCCACAAUCUGAUUUUCACUCUUAUUCGUCUCCUGUUUUGCUUUAUUAGCUCUAUUAAUAUCAUCUUUCAAAAUGGAAUCAGGAGUCAUAGGAAGCAAAGUAAUAUUUUUAUCCUUAUGAACAAGAGUAUAGUGAUUGUUUCUACCAUGGUGUACAGAAUUUUUAUCAAAUUGCCAUGGUCUACCAAGUAAUAAGGAACAUGCUUGCACGAGGACAACGAAAUUCCUUGUCGGGUAAGUUCCGACCCGCACGAAAGGUGUAACGACUUGCGCACUGUCUCAACGAGGGACCCGGUGAAAUUGAAGUACCUGUGAAGAUGCAGGUUACCCGCGACUGGACAGAAAGACCCCAUGGAGCUUUACUGCAACCUAAGAUUGAACUUAGUUAAUGAAUGUACAGGAUAGGUGGGAGACGUAGAACCUAGGACGCCAGUUUUAGGGGAGUCGCUGUUGGGAUACCACCCUUUCAUUAAUUGAUUUCUAACGGGCCGAGUAACGACCGGCCGGACAGUCUUAGGCGGGCAGUUUGACUGGGGCGGUCGCCUCCUAAAGAGUAACGGAGGCGCCCAAAGGUUCCCUCAGAGCGGACGGAAAUCGCUCGAAGAGUGUAAAGGCAGAAGGGAGCUUGACUGCGAGACGGACAGGUCGAGCAGGGACGAAAGUCGGGCUUAGUGAUCCGGUGGUGCCGAGUGGAAGGGCCAUCGCUCAACGGAUAAAAGCUACCCUGGGGAUAACAGGCUAAUCUCUCCCAAGAGUCCAUAUCGACGGGGAGGUUUGGCACCUCGAUGUCGGCUCAUCACAUCCUGGGGCUGAAGUAGGUCCCAAGGGUUCGGCUGUUCGCCGAUUAAAGUGGUACGUGAGCUGGGUUCAGAACGUCGUGAGACAGUUCGGUCCCUAUCCAUCGCGGGCGCAAGAAACUUGAAGGGGGCUGCUCCUAGUACGAGAGGACCGGAGUGGACGAACCGCUGGUGUACCAAUUAUCCUGCCAAGGGUACAGUUGGGUAGCUACGUUCGGGACGGAUAAACGCUGAAAGCAUCUAAGCGUGAAACCAGCCUUGAGAUGAGGUUUCUCAUAGCAUAAGCUAGUAAGAUCCCAUGUAGACGACAUGGUUGAUAGGCCAGGUGUGGAAGAGCCGUGAGGUUUGGAGCUGACUGGUACUAAUAGAUCGAGGGCUUUACUU
This 1808-nucleotide ribosomal RNA is filed under the name human oral metagenome. RNAcentral describes it as "bacterial LSU rRNA". The stretch from base 420 to 1808 matches the Rfam family "Bacterial large subunit ribosomal RNA". The record is from RNAcentral.